Molecule: long non-coding RNA, 270 nt
Organism: Gasterosteus aculeatus aculeatus (three-spined stickleback)
Lineage: Eukaryota; Metazoa; Chordata; Actinopteri; Perciformes; Gasterosteidae
Source: Ensembl
UGAGCACAGACGACAUUGUGGUCCCUCAACACAACAUUAAUUCAAAUCCUCUUUCGCUCGGCUUUAAUGGGGAAACCGUAACAGGACGUGUCAGCAAACCGAGGGAUUGAGCGAGGAGGCGAAUCGGUCCAAAGGGUGACAGAGCAGUCUGAGAAAAGGACGCGACAGCAAGAGCAAGACGGUCAAAGGAGUGGCAGAAUGCCGGGGAGGAGAGGACUGGGACGGGAUCGGACGGGACGCGGAGGACAGGAGUCAUCGCUAUGGUAACGG